UAUUGAACAGUUCGUCAAAGCCUGAUCUCAUCAGAUCAAAAAAGCUGAGCAGGGUUGGGCCUGACUAGUACUUGGAUGGGAGACCGCUGGGAAAAUCAGGUGCCACAGUGG
RNAcentral lists this ribosomal RNA (111 nucleotides) under Periophthalmus magnuspinnatus. The record is from RNAcentral. Lineage: Eukaryota; Metazoa; Chordata; Actinopteri; Gobiiformes; Gobiidae.